GUGAGAGCCACAGAGCUGAGACCCCCGCAGGGGGCUGAGCCCCCCCCUCACCCCCACACCGAGCUGAGCCCCCCCGGGGUGAUCUGAGCCCCCCAGGAAUGGUCUGAGUCCACCCGACCGACCUGAAGCCCCCCCCAGAAGAUGUCUGAGCCCCCCCCCCCCCCACCCCAUACCAAUCUGAGUCCCCCCAAACUGAGAUGACCCCCCCAGGAGCGGUCUGAGCCCCCCAGGAAUGAUCCAAACCCCCCCCAGACCGAACUGAGCCCCCCCCCCCCCCCCCCCCCCAGCAGAGGUCUGAACCCUCCCAGACAAACCUGAACCCCAGAAAUGAUCUGAGACCCCCUGACCGACCUGAACCCCCCCAGGAUAUGUCUGAGCCCCCCCAGACCCAUCUGAGCCCCCCAAGAGUGGUCGGAGCCCCCCCAGAUCAAACUGAGCCCCCCCAGACCAAUCUCCCCCCCCCCCCCCCCCCAGUAGUGGUCUCAGCCCCACAGUCCAACCUGAGCCCCCCAGGAGCGAUCUGAGCCCCCCCCCCCACCGCUGUCUAUAGACAUAGAGGGACCUGGAGUGGGGUGCAGGUGCCUAUGGGGCCCUAUUGCUCCUAUAGUGUAUAUGGCCCUGUUGGCGUAGCACAUAUGGGGCACGGAUAGGCCUAUAGGUACGUGUGCAGAGCUGAGCAUAUGGGGUUUUUAUUUACAUACAGCCCUAUAUGUCGUCUUAUUUCCAGUGCUGUGGGCAGAGCUGGGGGUGGGGUUUGCAUAUGGGCCAUAUGUGGUCCCUAUAGGGUCCAUAGGCUUCUCAGUGUGGGUAUAUGGGUGCCUAUAGGAUCCAUAUGUGGUCCCUAUAGGGUCCGUAGGCUUCUCAGUGUGGGUAUAUGGGUGCCUAUGGGGUCCAUAUGUGGUUCCUAUGGGGUCCGUAGGCUUCUCAGUGUGGGUAUAUGGGUGCCUAUAGGAUCCAUAUGUGGUCCCUAUGGGGUCCGUAGGCUUCUCAGUGUGGGUAUAUGGGUGCCUAUAGGGUCCAUAUGUGGUCCCUAUGGGGUCCGUAGGCUUCUCAGUGUGGGUAUAUGGGUGCCUAUAGGGUCCAUAUGUGGUCCCUAUGGGGUCCGUAGGCUUCUCAGUGUGGGUAUAUGGGUGCCUAUAGGGUCCAUAUGUGGCCCCUAUGGGGUCCGUAGGCUUCUCAGUGUGGGUAUAUGGGUGCCUAUAGGGUCCAUAUGUGGUCCCUAUGGGGUCCGUAGGCUUCUCAGUGUGGGUAUAUGGGUGCCUAUAGGGUCCAUUUGUGGCCCCCAUAGGGUGCAUACCCAUACAGUGCUGUAGGUCUAGGGGGGGCUCUGGGGGUCCCAUUCCCCUUUUCCCCCAGGGAAGCACGGGGGGGGACGGGGGGGGAUGGACGGAUGGAUUGGGAAACCCCAUUGAGUGUUAACCCCCCCCCCCAGUAAAAAAACAACCCCAAACCCACCAAUUUCUGCCCCCAAAAUGAGCAUCCCCGGGGGGAUCCCCCCCGGCCGCAGGUCCUGGCAGGUCACAGCAGCGAUCUGAGCCCCCCCCAGGAGCGAUCUGAGCCCCCCAGCAGCGAUCUGAGCCCCCCCAGCAGCGAUCUGAGCCCCCCAGGAGCGGUCUGAGACCAAAACGAGCAUCCCCGGGGGGGUCCCCCCGGCCGCAGGUCCUGGCAGGUCACAGCAGCGGUCCGUCCCGACCCCUCCUUGCCCCCCCCCCCGUGCCCUUUUCACCCCACACUGCCCGAGGACAGCCGUGACCCUUUCACCCCCCCCGCCCCGCUCCAUCGCUCCGCCGUCAUUAACGCCGAGCAGCGGAUCCGGAGCCGCUUUGACAGAUGAGAACGCGGGGGUGGGAGGGGGGGGGGG
Long non-coding RNA from Gallus gallus (chicken), 1861 nucleotides. The record is from Ensembl. NCBI's taxonomy places the organism in Eukaryota, Metazoa, Chordata, Aves, Galliformes, Phasianidae.